AAUCAACGCUGGCGGCGUGCCUAACACAUGCAAGUCGCACGAGAAAGUGGAGCAAUCCAUGAGUAAAGUGGCGCACGGGUGAGUAACACGUGAAUAAUCUACCUCCGAGUGGGGAAUAACUUAGGGAAACCUGAGCUAAUACCGCAUAACACUUACGAGUCAAAGCAGCAAUGCGCUUGGAGAGGAGUUCGCGGCAGAUUAGCUAGUUGGCGGGGUAAUGGCCCACCAAGGCGAUGAUCUGUAUCCGGCCUGAGAGGGCGCACGGACACACUGGAACUGAAACACGGUCCAGACUCCUACGGGAGGCAGCAGUGGGGAAUUUUGCGCAAUGGGGGAAACCCUGACGCAGCAACGCCGCGUGGAGGAUGAAAUCCCUUGGGAUGUAAACUCCUUUCGAUCGGGACGAUUAU
This 410-nucleotide ribosomal RNA is filed under the name bacterium Ellin7535. Its description in RNAcentral is "bacterial SSU rRNA". It matches the Rfam family "Bacterial small subunit ribosomal RNA", at positions 32 to 452 of the family's 1533-position model. The record is from RNAcentral.